RNAcentral lists this non-coding RNA (84 nucleotides) under human gut metagenome. The record is from RNAcentral.
AGGAUUAGGGGUGCUUCCCGCAGAAGCGGGCGGCUGAGAAUAUACCCUUGAACCUGAUGCGGGUAAUGCCGCCGUAGGGAGGAU